UUCUGAAUCAAAGCCUUUAUGUUCACGUUGAACUGCUCGUUGGAAGAUUCAUGGCCUGAGCCAGUUUGAGUAUUUUUCUUAUGAAUAGGGGCCCUUGAAACAGUUCCUUCUCAUUUAAUUUACCUUUUUUUCUUUUUUCUUUUUUGUAGGCCUUCAAUGCAGUGGACAAGCAAGAUAGAAUGGGAGGCACUUGCAGCCUGAAAGAAAAGGAGAAGAUGAACUUCAUGCUGCAUUCCUUUUGGUGGAUAAGAAGCAUCACACUGCAUAUGAUGUCACCAAACUUCGUACCGCAGCAGUUAAAACUUGUAGUGUAAGUAGA
Molecule: long non-coding RNA, 319 nt
Filed under: Salvator merianae (Argentine black and white tegu)
Lineage: Eukaryota; Metazoa; Chordata; Lepidosauria; Squamata; Teiidae
Description: lncRNA (ENSSMRG00000008962.1)
Source: RNAcentral